This 744-nucleotide long non-coding RNA is filed under the name Numida meleagris (helmeted guineafowl). RNAcentral's name for it is "lncRNA (ENSNMEG00000023100.1)". Lineage: Eukaryota; Metazoa; Chordata; Aves; Galliformes; Numididae. The record is from RNAcentral.
CACAGAGAUGGUCCUGACCCCAGAUCCAUAAAUAAGUCACCCUCUAUCCAGCUUGUCUGUGUCUGUGCCAUCUCGAGCACAAACACAGGGAGGCUGUCAGCCCGAGCACGGCAGCAGAUCUUCACUGUCACAAAGAAGCACAGAAGGAAAAGCAGUCUGUGAGAUAGAGAAGGACACAUAUCAUGCCUUUACUUUACUUUGUGUAAUGGCUGGGGAAAAAAAAAAGGAAAAAAGGCAAGCAGGUGAAAUGUUUUAAAUGAAGCCUAGAACUGUAAGGAAAUAUACUCAUAUGUAUCAUUUUCUGAUCACCAUUAUGUCAGCUGGGUGAAAGACUUCAGAGUGGUUUACUUCUAAAGAAUCACUUGCCUGGAUUUCAGCAACUGCCUUUGGGAAGAGCCUGGAACAACGCAUCUGCUGAAACCCCUGUGUAAUCAAAGGGAGGCAUCUUUUCAAGCAGACAUUGGUUUGGUGCAAUGCCUGGAACAAAACAAGAGCAAACAAAACCCGGCAGCGCUGAAUGCUGCAUCCUUGCUGCAUGGUAGAAGUAAGUUGAUGAGUUUGCUGAGAGUCUCAGCGUUCAGCCUUGCAACACAUCUCUAAUAUGAGGAGUGAUCAGCUUGCUUUCGUAGCCACGUAGGUGAGUUGUGGUGUUUCGCUCGGUGCUCUGUGUUAUAGUCUCACAAUUAUAUAUUUCUGCAAAUUACCACCAGAAAGUUAUCUUCAAGAGAGCAAAGAGCACCGCUA